RNAcentral lists this ribosomal RNA (226 nucleotides) under uncultured bacterium. Its description in RNAcentral is "partial 16S ribosomal RNA". It matches the Rfam family "Bacterial small subunit ribosomal RNA", at positions 118 to 347 of the family's 1533-position model. The record is from RNAcentral.
UGGGUGACCUGCCUCUAGGUGGGGGAUAACCCGGGGAAACUCGGGCUAAUACUGCAUAACAUCGUGAGAUCAAAGAGGGGCGCAAGCCUCUCGCCGAGAGAGGGGUCCGCGUCUGAUUAGCUAGUUGGUGAGGUAACGGAUCACCAAGGCGACGAUCAGUAGCCGGCCUGAGAGGGCAUCGGCCACACUGGAACUGAGACACGGUCCAGACUCCGUACGGGAGCAG